AUUUUCAGAAAACUGGUUAUGGAAAGUGUAUCAUGUUCCCACAAGGUAUCAGGUGGAUUUGACGUUCCCUGCUUUUUUAACUACAUGGGAAAUUCAAGGUAUUAGCAUUUCAGAUAAAGGUCUGUGUGUCACUGAUGAGCUGCUACUGGUGGUGUCUGAAGAUCACUUUCUGGUCAUAAAGAACAAUGUCACAGAGACAUUUCCAAGACCCAGACUCCCGUGCCGACGGCAGUAAGUGGAUGGCACCAAAGAACCCAAAUCAGAUGACAUGUGGCACUAGAUUCAGUCCCUGAGAAAUCUGACCCAAAAUUAGUGCACACAAUUCACUUCAAGGCUGAGGAAACUGAGUAGCUGGUGUCCAAAAGACUUGGA
Long non-coding RNA from Suncus etruscus (white-toothed pygmy shrew), 372 nucleotides. RefSeq lists it as uncharacterized. The record is from RefSeq and is a predicted model, not a curated record. NCBI's taxonomy places the organism in Eukaryota, Metazoa, Chordata, Mammalia, Eulipotyphla, Soricidae. The transcript has 3 exons.